RNAcentral lists this long non-coding RNA (1038 nucleotides) under Accipiter nisus (Eurasian sparrowhawk). RNAcentral describes it as "lncRNA (ENSANIG00000018076.1)". The record is from RNAcentral. Lineage: Eukaryota; Metazoa; Chordata; Aves; Accipitriformes; Accipitridae.
AUGUUUCCGCCCGCGCGCCCCUCCUCCGGAGUGCCGUCGCAGCGGCUGCUGGCCAAUGGGAGAGCGGCACCCUCGCCACGUGAGGGUGUCUUCCCCCCCCCCGGUCCCCCCCCUCUCCCGGUCAGCACGCAGCCGGGGGCGGGGGAGCCCCGCGGGCGAGUGGCCCCUCCCGCCCCCGAAACUGUUUGCCCUCGCACGUGCGGCCGGUCACGUGACGAGGAGGGAACCCGGCCGCGCGGGUCCCCCGACGGGGAGCGGAAGUCCUCCGUAUCUAUGGUUCCGAGGGGGGCAAGAGCGCCCUUCCUUCUCUAUGGUCGCGUUGGCACCGCGGGGCCGACGGGAGGCUGGCGGACUAUGUACAUUUUUCCCUCAUUACCUCACGAGCAGGGAGGAGGCUGCCGGGAUAGCGGAGGACCUUCCCUCGGCCUCGCUCCAGUCCUCCAGCUCCCCUCGCUGCCCGGCAGCCCCGGGAAGCCCGGCUCCCGGCCCAGCCGCGGCGGGCACUGUCCCCCUCCCUCCCUCCCUCCCUUCCUCCCUCCCCCCGCCCGCCGGGCCCGCUUCUCUGAGGAGCCUCGCCCAGGCCCAUGGCUCCAUGAGGCGGGAGAAGGAGGAGGCUGCGGCGGCGGCGGCGGGGCAGCGGCGGCGGCGGCUGGGCUGAGGCGGAGGAGACGCCGCGUCCGGCCCGGGACGGGUGCAGGAGGUGGGCGAGCCCGGGGAGGGGGGAGGCGGGUGGCGCCGUCGUCCCGCCCGCCCCGGCGGCGGGGAAGGGGUCAACGGGGCCGGGGGGGGGCUCGCGCCCCCUGGCGGCGGCGGUUCUGCCCCACCGGGGGCGGGGGGCGGGGCGGGCCAGGCGGAGGCGCGGGGUGGGCUGCGGGGGCGUCCCGGGCCCCGUCCCCCUCCUGCCCCCCCCCCUCCCCCCCGCGCGCUGCCGGCGGGGCAGGCGGAACCCCGGAAACGCCGCCGGAAAGUUUGUGUCCGAGCGCGCGGGGCUCGUCCGGCGCCGCGGCGGGACCGAGGGGAGGGGAGGGAGGGGGGUGA